AGGUAAUAGAUACCCGGGUAGUCCUGGCCCUAAACGAUGUCCACUAGAUCGUAGCUGCUCUGACGUAGUUAUGGUCGAAAGCAAAAGUGCUAAGUGGACCGCCUGGGAAGUACGGUCGCAAGGCUAAAACUCAAAGGAAUUGACGGGGGCUCACACAAGCGGUGGAGCAUGUGGUUCAAUUCGAAGCAACGCGCAGAACCUUACCUGGGCUUGACAUGCUAGGAUUAUCCCUAUGAAAGUAGGGUAGGCCCUUCGGGUACGAACUAGUACAGGUGCUGCAUGGCUGUCGUCAGCUCGUGUCGUGAGAUGUCGGGUUAAGUCCC
Molecule: ribosomal RNA, 323 nt
Filed under: uncultured bacterium
Lineage: Bacteria
Description: bacterial SSU rRNA
Rfam family: Bacterial small subunit ribosomal RNA
Source: RNAcentral